This 64-nucleotide transfer RNA is filed under the name Drilonius striatulus. Its description in RNAcentral is "tRNA-Arg". Lineage: Eukaryota; Metazoa; Arthropoda; Insecta; Coleoptera; Omethidae. The record is from RNAcentral.
AAAUAAGAAACAAAUAAUUGUAUCUAGUUUCGACCUAGACCUUUGAUGAGCCCAUCCUUAUUUA